CCAUGGUGAAGAGAGCUGAAAGGCAACUGGAGACCUGCAGGCACCUAAAGGCAAGAGAUCAAGGAAGAGGAACACGAUAAAAUGCUUAUGGCUCCAAGAAGAAAUAGGGUGAGAGAUAGGACCACAAAUUGUUUACUCAUUUCAACCAGUAAACAUGUCCUGCAAUGUCAAUCUGUCUUUCUGCCACAGCAGUUCUGCGCCUCCUGAGUUGUUUCCAUCUCCCUCCAGUCAUUCAGGACCACCAAUGAGAUUUGUGAUAUUUGGAAAACUGCCACCCAGUGCCUCCUUUUCCUAAUCUGCUGAAUAAAGUUAAUAAGACUA
This 321-nucleotide long non-coding RNA is filed under the name Homo sapiens (human). RNAcentral describes it as "HSALNT0346703". The record is from RNAcentral. Lineage: Eukaryota; Metazoa; Chordata; Mammalia; Primates; Hominidae.